RNAcentral lists this small RNA (956 nucleotides) under Arabidopsis thaliana (thale cress). RNAcentral's name for it is "ATSL029530". The record is from RNAcentral. Lineage: Eukaryota; Viridiplantae; Streptophyta; Magnoliopsida; Brassicales; Brassicaceae.
ACUUUAAUAUAAUUUUGUGUUGGUUAUGAGUCAUAUACAUAUUCAAAUCAAGUGAGACUUAUCUUCAUCUUGGAGGGUAAUUGUUCAAACCAAACAAUUUAACAAAAACUCUUCAGAUCACACAACAAUAUUUUGUUCUGAUAUCAUAUACAUAUUUUGAAUUUCUGAAAGAUAUAUUAUGAAAUGAUAGUAAAAUUAACCAAGUUUAACCAUAGUGGUGGUCCAAGUGUAAACAUGUUUGUAUUAUUUUGUCCAAUCCGUUAAGGAUGGUGUGAAUAUAGUGUACAUUAUGAAAAAUUUGGCUUAUGAAACUAACUUGGUUCAAGGGUGAGAACGCAACAAUAACCAUAUUGGAAGCUCCAUUUGUGGAGGAAAACAUUGAGAAAGUAGAUGUGAAAGUAGAUGAGAAAGAAUAAGUAGAGGACAAUAACGAUGAUAAAGAGAAAGAGGAUGAGGACGAUGAAGAGGAUUAAGAAGAGAAUAAUGAAAAUGAUGAUGGAAAAUGAUUAGUUAAGUAGGAGAAUACCAUGAAACAACAAGUAGACUAAUUAUGUUGUUGAAAAAUAUGGGAUGGAACAUGACAUAAAUAUUCGUGACACAAUUGAUUUUGAGACCAACAUGGAAUUCGGGUUUUAAUAGAAACGUCUACGUACUAAUGAACGUGUGCGUGAUGUAAUUAACAUCGAUUAUUUUAGAAAGAAUAGUGACAUUCAACCAUUUGUGAAUCAUAUUGUGAAUCAUAAUCGGAAGGUAAGAUAUGACUUUUGAAAAUAUGUAUGUACACUACUAACUAUGUACUUGAUGAAGUAUGUAAAUGUGAAUGUUUUAUGUACACGAAUAUAGAUGGACAUGUAUGUCUGUUUGAUUAUGUACUAUUGUGAAUGCGGUGUACGUAAUAUUUAUAGAGUUUGUAUCUUUGCUUUUUUGACUUCAAAAUAUGCUAAUAUAAACUAAAU